RNAcentral lists this ribosomal RNA (253 nucleotides) under uncultured bacterium. Its description in RNAcentral is "partial 16S ribosomal RNA". It matches the Rfam family "Bacterial small subunit ribosomal RNA", at positions 524 to 776 of the family's 1533-position model. The record is from RNAcentral.
UACGUAGGUGGCUAGCGUUGUCCGGAAUUACUGGGCGUAAAGGGCGCGUAGGCGGUUCGAUAAGUCAGCUGUGAAAACCAUGGGCUUAACUCAUGGCCUGCAGUUGAGACUGUCGGGCUGGAGUGUGGGAGAGGAGAGUGGAAUUCCUGGUGUAGCGGUGAAAUGCGUAGAUAUCAGGAGGAACACCGGUGGCGAAGGCGGCUCUCUGGACCACAACUGACGCUGAGGCGCGAAAGCUAGGGGAGCAAACAGG